UCUUUUUCUUUUUCUUUUUCUUUUUUUUGUUUUUUUUUUUUUUUUGAGACAAAGUUUCACUCUUGUCGCCCAGGCUGGAGUGCAAUGGCACGAUCUAGGCUCACUGCAACCUCCACCUCCCGGAUUCAAGUGAUUCUCCUGCCUCAGCCUCUCAAGUAGCUGGGAUUACAGGUGCCCACCAUCAUGCCCGGCUAAUUUUUGUAUUUUUAGUAGAGACGGGGUUUCACCAUGUUGGCCAGGCUGGUCUUGAACUCUUCAUCUCAGGUGAUCCACCCGCCUCGGCCUCCCAAAGUGCUGGGAUUACAAGUGUGUGUGAGCCACUGCACCUGGCCAAGAUUCUUCAACAGGUAUUUAUUGAAGACCUGCUAGGUAUUGGACACUUUCAAACACCUGGACAGGUGUCAGAUUUGAAGUCUUAUGAUGAUGGCAGAAAUCUCACCAUUUUUGAUGAAGCUCAUGGGCAGUCUUCCCUGGCUAGG
Long non-coding RNA from Symphalangus syndactylus (siamang), 479 nucleotides. RefSeq lists it as uncharacterized. The record is from RefSeq and is a predicted model, not a curated record. Lineage: Eukaryota; Metazoa; Chordata; Mammalia; Primates; Hylobatidae.